RNAcentral lists this ribosomal RNA (401 nucleotides) under uncultured bacterium. Its description in RNAcentral is "bacterial SSU rRNA". It matches the Rfam family "Bacterial small subunit ribosomal RNA", at positions 356 to 773 of the family's 1533-position model. The record is from RNAcentral.
GGGGAAUAUUGCACAAUGGGCGCAAGCCUGAUGCAGCAACGCCGCGUGAGUGAUGAAGGCCUUCGGGUCGUAAAACUCUGUCCUAAGGGAAGAAGAAGUGACGGUACCUUAGGAGGAAGCCCCGGCUAACUACGUGCCAGCAGCCGCGGUAAUACGUAGGGGGCAAGCGUUAUCCGGAAUCACUGGGCGUAAAGGGUGCGUAGGCGGCUGAUCAAGCCAGGGGUGAAAGGCAAUAGCUUAACUAUUGUAAGCCUUUGGAACUGGUCAGCUUGAGUGCAGGAGAGGAAAGCGGAAUUCCUAGUGUAGCGGUGAAAUGCGUAGAUAUUAGGAGGAACACCCGUGGCGAAGGCGGCUUUCUGGACUGUAACUGACGCUGAGGCACGAAAGCGUGGGGAGCAAAC